This 273-nucleotide ribosomal RNA is filed under the name uncultured bacterium. RNAcentral describes it as "partial small subunit ribosomal RNA". It matches the Rfam family "Bacterial small subunit ribosomal RNA", at positions 26 to 282 of the family's 1533-position model. The record is from RNAcentral.
AGAAUCAACGCUGGCGGCGUGCCUCAGACAUGCAAGUCGAACGCGAAAGUCCCCUUCGGGGGACAAGUAGAGUGGCGCACGGGUGAGUAACACGUAGGUAAUCUACCUUUGGAUGGGGAAUAACAACCGGAAACGGUUGCUAAUACCGCAUAAUGCAGCGGCACCUAAUGGUGACAGUUGUUAAAGCGGGGGAUCGAAAGACCUCGCGUCUGAAGAGGAGCCUGCGGCGGAUUAGCUAGUUGGUAAGGUAAUGGCUUACCAGGGCUACGAUCC